GAGUUUGAUCCUGGCUCAGAUUGAACGCUGGCGGCAUGCCUUACACAUGCAAGUCGAACGGCAGCACGGGAGCUUGCUCCUGGUGGCGAGUGGCGAACGGGUGAGUAAUGCAUCGGAACGUAUCCUGGAGUGGGGGAUAACGUAGCGAAAGUUACGCUAAUACCGCAUAUUCUGUGAGCAGGAAAGCGGGGGACCUUCGGGCCUCGCGCUCUUGGAGCGGCCGAUGUCGGAUUAGCUAGUUGGUGAGGUAAAGGCUCACCAAGGCGACGAUCCGUAGCAGGUCUGAGAGGAUGAUCUGCCACACUGGAACUGAGACACGGUCCAGACUCCUACGGAGGCAGCAGUGGGAAUUU
RNAcentral lists this ribosomal RNA (353 nucleotides) under bacterium enrichment culture clone ALO1_GLFRUDD03HGB0O. Its description in RNAcentral is "bacterial SSU rRNA". It matches the Rfam family "Bacterial small subunit ribosomal RNA", at positions 9 to 363 of the family's 1533-position model. The record is from RNAcentral.